Molecule: transfer RNA, 86 nt
Filed under: Acidobacteriota bacterium
Lineage: Bacteria; Pseudomonadati; Acidobacteriota
Also listed under: 1 other name
Description: Acidobacteria bacterium tRNA-Leu
Rfam family: tRNA
About the family: Transfer RNA (tRNA) molecules are approximately 80 nucleotides in length. Their secondary structure includes four short double-helical elements and three loops (D, anti-codon, and T loops).
Source: RNAcentral
GCGGAAGUGGCGGAACGGCAGACGCACACGGCUUAGGACCGUGAGCCCGAAAAGGCGUGGGGGUUCGAAUCCCCCCUUCCGCACCA